RNAcentral lists this ribosomal RNA (554 nucleotides) under Drosophila novazonata. Its description in RNAcentral is "partial 16S ribosomal RNA". It matches the Rfam family "Bacterial large subunit ribosomal RNA", at positions 1779 to 2605 of the family's 2925-position model. The record is from RNAcentral. Lineage: Eukaryota; Metazoa; Arthropoda; Insecta; Diptera; Drosophilidae.
UCAGAUCACGGGCCGCGCCUGUUUCACAAACACAUGUUUUUUUGAAAUAAAUUUAAAGUCUCACCCGCCCACUGAAAUUUUUAAAUGGCCGCAGUAUUCUAACUGUGCAAAGGUAGCAUAAUCAUUAGUCUUUUAAUUGGAGGCUGGAAUGAAUGGUUGGACGAAAUAUUAACUGUUUCAUUUUAAUUUUUUAUAGAAUUUUAUUUUUUAGUCAAAAAGCUAAAAUUUUAUUAAAAGACGAGAAGACCCUAUAAAUCUUUAUAUUUUGUUUAUUUUGAUUUUAAAGAUUAUUUUAAUUUUAAUAAAUAAAAAUAUUUUACGGGGGUGAUAUUAAAAUUUAAAAAGCUUUUAAUUUUUAAACCCAUUAAUUUAUGAAUAAUUGAUCCAUUAAUAAUGAUUAAAAAUUUAAGUUACUUUAGGGAUAACAGCGUAAUUUUUUUGGAGAGUUCAUAUCGAUAAAAAAGAUUGCGACCUCGAUGUUGGAUUAAGUAUAUAAUUUUGGGUGUAGCCGGGGGGAUGUUAAGACUGUUCAACUUUUAAAAACUUACUGGAUC